CCUACGGGAGGCAGCAGUGAGGAAUUUUCUGCAAUGGGCGAAAGCCUGACAGAGCAAUACCGCGUGAGGGAAGAAGGCCUAUGGGUUGUAAACCUCUUUUCUCAAGGAGGAAGAUCUGACGUUACUUGAGGAAUAAGCAUCGGCUAACUCUGUGCCAGCAGCCGCGGUAAU
RNAcentral lists this ribosomal RNA (171 nucleotides) under uncultured bacterium. Its description in RNAcentral is "partial 16S ribosomal RNA". It matches the Rfam family "Bacterial small subunit ribosomal RNA", at positions 338 to 524 of the family's 1533-position model. The record is from RNAcentral.